UUCCUCAGUAGCGGCGAGCGAACAGGAAUAUAGCCCAGCACUGAAUCCCGUCGUUGUWAUGGCGUCGGGAGAUGUGGUGUUCGGGAGGUUCCGCUUUCUCGUCGUCGUUUACGCCUGUCCAAGUUCGUCUUGAACGGGGCCCAUUUCCCAUAGAGGGUGCCAGGCCCGUAGCGACGGCGUACGGCGGCGAGAGGGACUCUCCUCAGAGUCGGGUUGCUUGAGAGUGCAGCCCUAAGCGGGUGGUAAACUCCAUCUAAGGCUAAAUAUUACCGCGA
This 275-nucleotide ribosomal RNA is filed under the name Dyspteris abortivaria (bad-wing). RNAcentral describes it as "partial 28S ribosomal RNA". It matches the Rfam family "Eukaryotic large subunit ribosomal RNA", at positions 76 to 331 of the family's 3401-position model. The record is from RNAcentral. Lineage: Eukaryota; Metazoa; Arthropoda; Insecta; Lepidoptera; Geometridae.